GCCAGGUGUGGUGGCAUACACCUAUAAUCUCAGCAACUGAGGAGGUUGAGGCAGGAGGAUCUCAAGUUUGAGGUCAGCCUGGGCAACUUAGUGAGACCCUGUCUCAA
Molecule: small RNA, 107 nt
Filed under: Marmota monax (woodchuck)
Lineage: Eukaryota; Metazoa; Chordata; Mammalia; Rodentia; Sciuridae
Source: RNAcentral